This is a long non-coding RNA of Xiphophorus hellerii (green swordtail), 336 nucleotides long. RefSeq lists it as uncharacterized. The transcript has 2 exons. The record is from RefSeq and is a predicted model, not a curated record. Lineage: Eukaryota; Metazoa; Chordata; Actinopteri; Cyprinodontiformes; Poeciliidae.
CUCCGAGUCCAGAAGCCCUUGAGCUAUCAGCUCCUCCUUGAUCCGCGCCUCCAGGGAACGUGUGUGAGGAACACUGGGAGCAAAGAAACCGGCAGGAAACUGUCACUACCAGGGGGUUUUAAGAAAAAUCCUCUAAGCUUUGGGAAUCACAUGAAUCAUCAGAGUAGAAAACCUGGAUCUGACCUCUACAAGGGCCUGAAGCAGACGCUGAGUGAGCGGACCAAAGGGACAACCGUCUUCUGGUGAUUCGUGCUGAGAUUCGGAUUUCUUCAGCAGUGAGUCUACAUCUACAUGGAUGAACACAUGGAUGAGUGCUGACAUGGAAACACGGCUGUG